Molecule: ribosomal RNA, 250 nt
Filed under: uncultured prokaryote
Description: partial 16S ribosomal RNA
Rfam family: Bacterial small subunit ribosomal RNA
Source: RNAcentral
UACGUAUGGGGCAAGCGUUAUCCGGAUUACUGGGUGUAAAGGGUGCGUAGGCGGCUUACCAAGUCAGGUGUGAAAUACCGGGGCUUAACCCCGGAGCUGCAUUUGAAACUGGCAGGCUUGAGUUCAGGAGGGGCAGGCGGAAUUCCUGGUGUAGCGGCGAAAUGCGUAGAUAUCAGGAGGAACACCGGUGGCGAAGGCGGCCUGCUGGACUGACACUGACGCUGAGGCACGAAAGCGUGGGGAGCAAACA